Phoenix dactylifera (date palm) is the source of this 2347-nucleotide non-coding RNA. Lineage: Eukaryota; Viridiplantae; Streptophyta; Magnoliopsida; Arecales; Arecaceae. The record is from RefSeq and is a predicted model, not a curated record.
CCAGAAAUUAGAAACAGUUCUUUCCCAGUUUCACACCUCUCUCUCUCCGUGGAUUCGAAGAAAGAACCGAAACCCUAACCCUAAUCUUUGAUCGAGGAGGAGGAGAUGCUGUUCCAAGUGGGAGGGCAGGGGACGCGGCCGACCUUCUUCGAGAUGGCGGCCGCGCAGCAGCUCCCAGCCAGCCUCAGGGCCGCCCUCACCUACUCCCUCGGGGUGUUUGCCUUGAGAAGGCCAUUCCUUCACAAGGUGUUAGAUUAUGAUGAUGAAUUCUUUGCCUUGUUGAUGAUGGUGCUUGAAAGUCACAGUUUACGAACCACAGAUGCUUCUUUUUCGGAGUCCUUGUAUGGUCUACGAAGGAGAGCAGUGAAGAUUAUCCACAAAAAACAUUCUUCUAAUAUGGAAUCAAAUGAUAAAAUCCAUCACUCGGGAUUAGAGAAGCACCAAAAAGUUGCCUCAGUUGCAUUUCUGGUCAUUUUGCCUUAUAUAAAGUCAAAGCUUCAUUAUAUUUACAACAAAGAAAGGGAAGCAAGGCUUCAAGCAAGUCUUUGGGGUCAUGAUGAUGCAAGAUUUGAUGACACAGGCUUCGUCCUAGAUCAAGGAGAGAGCUCUCAUUCACAAAUUGAAGCUUCAAGUGUCGAAGGAUCACGCAUGACACACCUAAAAAAGAGAAUUAUGGAAAUUAUAGCUUGUUGCUACCCCUGGAUUCAUGCGACCAAUGAGGGAUUAUCAUUUGCUUACCAACUAUUGUAUCUGCUGGAUGCUACUGGCUUCUAUAGUCCAGAUCUACAUGCACUUGGGAUUCAUGUAUGUCGGGCAACAGGACAAGAACUGGUAGAUGGAUUCCUCUUCUAGAAUUUCAAGGAUCAGAAGUCGCGAACUUGAAAGACUAAGGGGCCCUCUGUGGUUGAAGGCAGUUCAGAGAGUUCUGCUUAGCUGCGUAUACACAACAUUAGAUUAUGCACAAACUGGUCUAAUUGCUGCAGUAUUCUUUUUCAAGGUGAGCAGACCUUACCUACUUUUGAAAUUCUAAAUGUAAUUUGCAUGGAGGCAUCUUAAUUCACUCAAAUAUACACAUCUUUUCCUUUCUCUGGUAAUUUUAGAGGUUUGUUAUAAUCGGCCUGUAGUUGCUUUAUCUGUUUAUCAUACAGUGAUUUUUUUUCCCAGAAUAUUAAUCAUCCUUAUAUUAUAUCUUGAGUAUUUUAUGCAUUAUUCAAAAUUCUUCUGUUUUUUUUAUGUUAAAAAAAUAGUAGGGAACAUUGCAUUAAUAGCCAUUCCCAUUCUCAUAUUUGUAGAAAUGGCCAAUUUUAUUUCCUUUCGCAGGAUCAGCUGUUUUCUAUUUCUUUGACUGAAUUGCCCCUGGCCUGAUCAACAAAGAACAAUGUGCAUUCAAUAUUCAGAUUUUUGCACUCUCAAAUAUAUGCAUCAGUUUAAAGUAUGCACCCUCGAGGUGCAUAUACUGAUCUAUAUUUUGUAUCUAUGAAUGAAAGUGUGCUCUAGUUAGUCUAAAUGUAUGAAUCACAUUUAUUAUGCCUCAACUUGUCUAAAGUGUGUGUAUUUUCCUGGACUGUCUUAUGUAUUUAACAAUUGCAUUGGAUAAUGUAAAUGUGAAAGAAUCAACUAGUCAUUUUAGAUUUUCUUUUUCCUUGAGUAAAAUGGAGAUCUGAAGUUCACCUGAGUAAUAGGGUAAGAAAGACUAUGAAGAUCCCUCAAAAGAAGGGAGAAAAGAGUAGGGACCUAAAUUCUAAGACUGUUACAGCUCUCAAGACAUUUUCUCAACUAUCAGCAUUUUUCCUAUCAGAUAGAGACGUCCUCUCAGAUAAUAAGUAUAGAGAGUGCUGAAAUACUCUAUCCACUGAAGAGAGACCUUGCUUGAGAAAAUUCUGCUAUUCCUUUCCUUCCGUAGACACCAACAUAGAGCAAAGACAGCCUGAUCUCAGCCUCUCUAAGGUUUAUGCGGAACUUCUUUCUUCGCCAUACUGUCCAAAGCUGAAGUAGGGAUUUUGGCUUCCCUCGUAGGUUCCAAGUAUUUAUCGACUUUCUCUAAAUGGCACUGGAAAAAUGACCGAUAGAAAUAAAUGAUGGUUCAAUUCCUUUGGGUGGUCAGCAAGGCAGCACCCUCCUUGAAGAGUCCAUCCUUUCCUGGCCAUAACUUAGUAUGUAGCUGUCAUUUUAGAUGGGGACAACUUGUUAAACAUAGUCUGAAUGUGUGCACUGCAUGGCAUGUGCACAAGUCUCCUUGAAACUAUGACUCAUAUAGUCUAGAAGCAACUUGGGCAGGAAAAAUUCAAAAAUGGCUUAUCAUGCAAAAAGAAAUAAAAAUGGCUGUUUCUGCUGAAAAUGUGAAUGG